This 254-nucleotide ribosomal RNA is filed under the name uncultured bacterium. Its description in RNAcentral is "partial 16S ribosomal RNA". It matches the Rfam family "Bacterial small subunit ribosomal RNA", at positions 524 to 776 of the family's 1533-position model. The record is from RNAcentral.
CACGUAGGGUGCGAGCGUUGUCCGGAAUUGUUGGGCGUAAAGAGCUCGUAGGCGGUGUGUCGCGUCGGCCGUGAAAACCUGCAGCUUAACUGUGGGCUUGCGGUCGAUACGGGCAUCACUGGAGUUCGGCAGGGGAGACUGGAAUUCCUGGUGUAGCGGUGAAAUGCGUAGAUAUCGAGAGGAACACCUGCGGCGAAGGCGGGUUGCUGGGCUGACACUGACGCUGAGGCGCGAAAGCCAGGGGAGCGAACGGG